Long non-coding RNA from Erpetoichthys calabaricus (reedfish), 253 nucleotides. RefSeq lists it as uncharacterized. NCBI's taxonomy places the organism in Eukaryota, Metazoa, Chordata, Cladistia, Polypteriformes, Polypteridae. The transcript is spliced from 2 exons. The record is from RefSeq and is a predicted model, not a curated record.
GUCAUUGGAAAAAAAAAAAAAAAAAAGCAGGACAAAGCAAUGUCAGAAAUAAAAGACAGUAGAAAACAAAGUAAAACGUCAUAAAGAGGUUAAAAAACAAGGGGGCCAAACGCAUGCAGAGCAGGUUAGAGAUAAUGAAAACUGGAAUUCAAAAGACUCAAAAAAAAAAAAAAAAAAAAAACAUAGGCACGAUACACAUGCUGAGCAAGAUACAGAAUAUGAAAGCAGAAAAAAAUGACAGUGUCAAAACAAA